CGCACCUUGCGCUCCUUGGUAUUCCGAGGAGCAUGCCUGUUUGAGUGUCUUGAAGUCAUCAACCCCUCCCGUUUCGUGCGGGAAGGGUUGGAUGUGGGGGCUCUGCUGCCGUGAGGCGGCUCCCCUCAAAUGCAUCGGUUGGGCCUGUGGGUCGAACUCGACUGGGCGUUGUACCAUCCUCGCUCGACAGAGAUGUUCCCCUUCCGAGCCCUCCCCCGACCUGCCUGUCAGAGUGGCGGUCAAGCAACUAUGAAAUCUGGCCUCAAAUCAGGUAGGACUACCCGCUGAACUUAA
Molecule: unclassified non-coding RNA, 294 nt
Filed under: Trechispora invisitata
Lineage: Eukaryota; Fungi; Basidiomycota; Agaricomycetes; Trechisporales; Hydnodontaceae
Description: partial contains 5.8S ribosomal RNA, internal transcribed spacer 2, and large subunit ribosomal RNA
Source: RNAcentral